Callithrix jacchus (white-tufted-ear marmoset) is the source of this 2119-nucleotide long non-coding RNA. NCBI's taxonomy places the organism in Eukaryota, Metazoa, Chordata, Mammalia, Primates, Cebidae. The record is from Ensembl.
UUCUUCUCCAACACAGCCAAAAAUUGUACUGGGCCUGAGAUAUUUGUGAGCCCUGUUUGAUUUAAAGCUGUUAGAAAGCAUGCCAAACAUUUUAAGUUUUUACUCCCAUAGUUGUUGUAAACCGGGCAGAACCUGUCUGUUACGAAGAGUGCACUGCCCUCUAGAGGUUCCCAUUGGGAGGAGCACAUCAAAUCCACAGUGUUAAGGCAUUCUGCAGUUUCUUGUGAGGUGUUGCUGUAGACCUUUACUAUUACUGUUCUUUGUCACAAACAUGCUUUUCCAGAUAUCUAAUUCUGAGUCACACAUUUUUAAUUUACUUUGGAAUAGUAUUUUGGGGUAAAGCACGUGAUGAACCUCAAAACACUCAAUUUGGAGUCAGGAGACAUGACUUUUAGUUCCAGUUCUUCCUUUAAUAUCUGAGAACUUAAAUUUCACGUCUGUUAAUCAUGUAGUAGAAGAUCACACUUCAAAACUGUGAAUCACUAGAAAGCAUAUUUUGGGAGUAAAACUGUGAAGAGUUUCAUAAAUUCAGUAAAUAUUUAAUAUGCAAGAUCUUAGGAUAAGAGCUGUUUUGCCGAAGUUAGGAGUUUACAUUUGAUCUUUACAAUGUUAGAUGAAAAGUUUUUUUUUUAAAGGCACUUGGGAAACAUUCGGGCUUGCAAUUUAAGUGGAUGAAUUUAACCCCGAUGCCAUGGAACCUUGAAGUUGAAACUGAGCUAAAACAACACAAAACUUACUUUGAUUCCAAGAGUCUUCCGACAUGAGAGUGGAAAUUAGUCACACAACCACACACACACACACACACACACACACACCUUAAUAUGCCAUUAAGCUCUGAUGCAAACCCCAUUUAGCCUGGUUUUUCCUUUCCUAUUUUCAAUCAAGAAAGAAAAAAAGGAAGUCUUUCAUUUAAUGGGCCAGAGGAUCUACCACCACAGAACCAUUCUAGAUGUCAAUUCCUGGUAAGAAAUGAUUGGGAGUUAACAGAAGAACCACAGAGAGGUAGAGUUUGCUAUGUUUAUAUUUGCAUUGAAGUUAUUUUAAAAUAUUAGUUUAUCCUCCUGCACAUACUAUUUUUAUUUUAUAGCAUACAUGGAAUCUAUAUGUUUGAUUCUAUAGCGUAAAUUCCUUUCUUCUCAAUCAGCCUUUUUGGCCGCUUUGUUAAAGAUCACAGUGUAGCCACAUGAAGGAAAACCACUCGAAUCUGGGUUAGUCCUAUCCAUGGUGACAGUUAUUACCUGACUGCCAGUGCUGGGAUUGGAUAGAUCAGGUAUAUAUAGCAGCCUGUCUUACAGAAUGGUGUCUGAACAGGACCAUUUCUGGUUCAAUGUAGCCUUCCUUGGUUUUAACCUGUAUCACAUGGGCUUGUCUAAAAGGAACAAUAUCCCUUAAUACUGAAAAUUUUCUAACACAGCAAUUGUCAAAUUAUCAUCGACAUACCCCUGGGGGUCCUGAUUAUCUUUAAAGGGUGUCUGCAAAGUCAGCAUGAUUUACCUAGUAAUCCUGACACGAAUUUGAGCUUUCAAAUGAAAUUAAAGUUUCAGAAAACUUUUAUCCACUACCUGAGAUUGAUAGCUUCUUAAUACUUAGAGAUUUUAUUAUGAAAUUGGGAAUGUUAACUAAUGCAAUUUAAAAAAUAUCAUAUGAUAAAAUGUGUCGAUAUUUGGAACAUCUGUAUAACUCAGUGAAUCAAUAUUGUCCAAAUAGCAAUGCAUGGGGUUACAAAAUUAUGCAUGGAUAAAAGCUCUAUUCAAAGUUCAAGACAGACCAAUGGAUUUUAAGUUAAGAGAGCACAAAAAGUUUAUUGGUCUAGUUUCAUAGUCCACAUCUUUUAAAAAAACAACUUGUUGAAUCUUGGUGUAUCACAGAAGAGUAUCCACAACUACGUUCCUUCCUUUUUCAAACAUAUCUAUGUGUAGCUCCCUUUUCUUCAUGUACUUCAACCAAAAUAUCAUUUUGCAGCAGGUUGAAUGCUGAAAAAUAUAGCAGGAUCCAGCGUUCUUCUGUUAAGCCAGACACUGAAGAGAUUUGCAGAAAUAUAAAACAAUGCAAUUCUUCUCAUUAACAUUUUUUGGAAAUGUAAUUAUUUUUUAUAAAAGUAUGUUAUUUAUGUCAAUAU